This 3280-nucleotide ribosomal RNA is filed under the name Ambystoma mexicanum (axolotl). Its description in RNAcentral is "eukaryotic LSU rRNA". It matches the Rfam family "Eukaryotic large subunit ribosomal RNA". The record is from RNAcentral. Lineage: Eukaryota; Metazoa; Chordata; Amphibia; Caudata; Ambystomatidae.
CUCUGCCCAGUUGGUCUUUGGUGCAGAUUGGGACAGAGCACACUAUGGCAAGCCAGAGGCACUGCGCUGGGGCAACCGCCAACAACCCUGGACUGAUUGCCCAAUAUUCAGCUCCCCAACUACAACCUCAGAUCAGACAUGACUACCAGCUGAAUUUAAGCUUAUUACCAAGCGGAGGAAAAUAAACUAACCAGGAUUCCCUCAGUUACGGUGAGUGAAGAGGUAAGUAUCAAAUCCCCAUCCGGCGGUGGGUGUGGAAAAUGUGGCAUACAGAAAACCGAUUUACCAGCAUCACUCAAUGGGCCCAAGUCCUUUUGAUCGAAGCUCACUCAAUGCACAGUGUUGGGCCGGUAGUGGGACUUAGCGAGCUUGGAUCAGGUCUUCUCAGAGUUGGGUUGCCUGGUAAUGCACUCUAAAAUGGGUUGUAAAUUCAAGCUAAGGCUAAAUUUGGGUGUGAAACAGAUAGCCAAUCGGUACUAUAAGGUGAAAAUGAAAAGAACUUUGAAGAGAAAGUUCAAGAGGGCGUGAAACCAUUGCGAGGUAAACGGGUUGGGUCCUUGCAGUUCACUCGGAGGAUUCAGCACGCCAGGCAUUUUGGUGCUCCCUUAAUGGCAGAUCCCCUCCUGGGACCACUGCCUGGGUGCACAUGGCCCCUGCAGUGUGCAUUUCCUCCAUGGAUGUGCCCACAACUGGCUCUGAGUUGUCUCGGACGGCCCCGGGAGCAGCUUGCAGAGAGUGUUACAUCCCACUGGCUGCAGUUUUGCUGUUUAUAUGGGGGUGAGAGAGAUUGACUGAUACUGUACUCUCCUCUGGAAACUGUCCUGGCCCCUCUCAGGGGUCACAGAGUCAGCAAUGGAGGAUGGGGAACCCUGCUCCCAGUGCGACUGUCAACUGGGGUGGUCUGUGUUCAAUAUGCCACUGUCACGACACUCCACCAGGCGGCGAGUCCCACAAAGGGCAUCAGUGAUCUCAAGUGAUGCUGGUUACCAACCGACCCAGCUUGAAACAUGUAUCAAGGAGUAACAAGUACGUGAGUCAGGAGGGCGAAGAAAAUCCUAUAGCACAAUGAAGGUGAGGGCUGGCGCAGGCCAGCUGUGGUGCGAUCCUGUGGCAGAGUCACUGCCAGUGCACCACCGGCACGUCUCGUCUUCACUGUAGGGGAGGUGGAGCAUGAGCGUGUGUGAUAGGACCCGAAAGAUGGUGAACUAUGCCUGGGCAGGGCAAAGCAAUGGGAAAAUCUUGUGGAGUUCUGCAGCAGUCCCAAUAUGCAGAUCGGUCAUCCGACCUGGAUAUAGGGGCAAAAGACUGAUCAAACCAUCAAGUAGCUGUUCCGUCUGAAGUUUCCCUCAUGAUAUCUGAUGCUCAGAAAUACCUGUUUUAUCUAGUAAAGCAAAUGAUCAGAAGUCUUGGGGUCAAAAACAAGCUCAACAUAUUCUCAAACUUUAAAUCAGUAAGAAACAUGGCUCAAUGGUGUGGAGCUGGGUAUUGCAUGUGAGUGCCAGUGGUACACUUCUGGUAAGUAGAACUUGUGCUGCAGGAUGAACCGAAAGGCGGGUUGACAUGCCUGAUGCUGACGUUCAUCAGACCAGAGAAAAGGUCUUGGCUGAUAUAGACAGCAGGACAGUGGUCAUGGAAGUCAUAAUCUGCUAUGGAGUGCGUAACAACUCACUUUCUGAAUCAACAAGCACAGAAAAUGGAUGUGCUGGAGCGUCUGGCCCAUAUCUGACCAUCGCCAGCACUGAGAACCACUUUGUUGCACGUGGAAACCCGGGUGGAGGACCUGGGUGGUCUGCCAAAGGUGCAGAAACUUAAAGGAAUCGAUGAAAGGGCACAACAAGAAUUUGAGCGUGUGGCUUAAUUUGACUUAAUUUCACCUGGUCCUGUCAAGGAAGUGAUUGACAGAUUGGUAGCUCUUUGUUGAUUCUGUGGUGGUGGUGCAUGGCCUUCUUAGUUGGUGGAGUGAUUUGUCUGGUUAAUUCUCAUAACGCACGAGACUCCUCCAUGCUAACUAGAAACAUGGCCCAAGUGGUCAGCAUUCAACUUUUUAGAGUGACAAGUGUCGUUUAGCAACACGAGAUGAAGCAAUUCAUGGUCUGUGAUGCCCUUAGAUAUCUGUGCCUAUUUGCCUGCUACACUGGAUAGAAGAGCGUGUGUCUACCCUGCGCCGACAGGUAACCCUCUGAACACUGUUCAUGAUAGGGAUUUGGUAUUGAAAUGAUUUCCCAUGAAUGAGGAAUUUCCAUUAAGUGCGGGUCAUAAGCUUGCGUUGAUUAAGUUCAGAUGCAGAUGUUGGUGCUAGUGGCAAAUAUUCAAACAAGAACUUUGAAGGCCGAAGUGGAGAAGGGUUGCAUGUGACCAGUUAAACAUGGAUCAGUCGCUUUUAAGAGAUGGGUGAGUGCUGUUCACAUGGGAAGGGCAAUGGCCUCUGUUACUAUCCGUUGAUCGAAAGGAAGUCUGAUUUGGAUCUUUGAACCCAGAGUCGCGGAGUUGGGCGCUUUUGCAGUUUCCAGUCUGGUAAUGCAAACAAUCCAGGAGAAGCCAGUGGGAGCCCUGGGGAGAGUUUUGUUUUUGUGAAGGGUAGGGCACACUGGAAUGGGUUGUUUCCAAGAGAGUGGCUGAGCCUUUGAAAGCUUUGCGGUGUCGGCAGCAACUGGUGAGCUCUCUCAGUUCCUUGACAAUAUGGGGGUGAUGGUGUAAAUCACGCUUGAUAUCAAUUUUCAGCAUCUAUACAGACAAUGAAAGUGUGGCCUCAUGCUCCUCCUGGUAUUUUGGCUUUCAAGCAGGAGUUGUCAGAAAAGUUAGCACAGGGAUAACUGGCUUGUGGCAGCCAAGCAUUCAUAGUGACAUCGCAUUUUGAUCCGUUGAUGUCAGCUCUUCCAAUCAUUGUAAUGCAUAAUUCUCCAAGCGUUGGAUUGCUCACCCACUAGAGGUGAAAGUGAGCUGGGUUUAGACCGUUGUGAGAGAGAUUAGUUUUACCCUACUAAUGAUGUGUUGUUGAAAUAGGAAUCCUACUCAGUACCAGAAGAGCCACAGGUUCAGACAUUAGGCGUAUGUUCUUGGCCAAGGAGCCACAAUGGGGGUGAAGCUACCAUCUAUGGAUUGUGACUGAAUGCCUCUCAGUCAGUAUCCCCACUUAAACCAUAACGAUACUGCAGCGCUGUGGAGCUAGUGGUUGGCCUAGGAUAGCUGGCCUCUGGGCUGGUGCAUAGCACUGCUCGCCUAGGUACUCGAGUGUGGAAAGAAGGGGGCCACCUGUCUCACCAGUAGUACACUGUUUGUU